CCCCAUGGACUGCAGUCUACCAGGCUCCUCCGUCCAUGGGAUUUUCCAGGCAAGAGUACUGGAGUGGGGUGCCAUUUUCUCCUGACAAAUGCACCUGCCCUUCCCUAGGUCAAUAAGGCUCUUGCUUAUCUCAGUAAGAUCAUUGCAUGUUCCUCCCAGUGGAUACUCUGGAGCUGGUCCUGGUUGACCUCUGUGUGGUAUGUGUGCUGGGCUCCUGCUCUGGGCCAGGUGCUGUGUUGGGCACUCAGUGGACCCUGUUUCCUGGGUCCAUGCCUCCCGCAGUGGGCAAGGUUCUGCUGCAGACUCUUGGUUCCAGGAGCAAGAGGCUUGCUCUGGCUGCUGUGGGCUGCGGGUGCUCCUUGAGCGAUCUGGAAAUUCCAGGUGCUGUCUUCUGCAAUAUCUUUUAAAUGGCUAUUUUGUACUAUUUUACUGAAGGUGUUGGAUGUGGAAAGGCACAAACUGCUUCACUGUGAAUAUUUUUAUAGUCUUAAGAAGGCUUUCCGUCUCCAUCACAAGGAAUUUCCCUGAAUCCCUCUUAACUGCCUGUAGCCUCCAGAGCGCCAGAGAGGUGCCCCCAACCUAAGUUGAUUCGACUUUGCUCCCUUAAAACUCGGCCUUCUCAUUAUGUUGAGCAGUUUAAUUCCCCCCACACUGGGUCCUGGGCCUCCCUGGGCAUCCUACACCCAAUAAUGUUCUCUGCUAAACAGAGAGAUCCCCUAGCCCACGGUUUGGAAGCACCAAAGAAGUGCCAGAGGCAUUACCCUUCCCACUUUUUUAUUUUUUACCUCCCCCACAAGCAGGUUGCGUCCAUCACCUCCUCCUCCACCCCAGGCAAAGGUGGUUUCUUUAUAUAACAGGACAGAGAAGUGUCCUGCCACACUCCAAGCACAGGGACCCUGGGCUACCCCUGCUUGAAGAUGAGCAGUUGUAGAUUUACGGCAACUCCAGGACCAGAUAUCCUGUCAUCUGUUCAAAAGAGGAGCUUCACAACGUGGAUGGACCUGAGAGUGUCCUACUGAGUGAAGUCUCCCGCCUCUGGUCUCUAUGCUUCCUGAAGCCAUCAGGCUGGUGGCAGAUGGAAUUCUCUGAGUACUGAAGGUUCAUGAUGGCCAGAGCUGGAGGAGAUCUUGGGAACCCACCCAAACAACCAUCGUAUGUGGAGGAGAAUGGAGGCUGUUGAUGAAAUGACUUGCAAGCUGGGGUUAGAAUCCAGGACCCCAGACCUCUCCCAGCACUCUGUUAUACCACACAGCCGCUCAUGAACCAGGAGGUAAAGUUGAAGAAGGUGAGCAUCAGGACUUCAGUGCAUUCAGAGCAGAGUGGGAGGGAGGACCUGCCUGAUCAUGGCGAAGGAAAACAGCCCACUGUUCCACUGGAAAUAUUUUACUGAGUAAACUUUUUCCUAACUGGCCAUAGUGCUCUAGAGGUGGAUCACUCAGAUCACAGAGGAAGUCCUCUGGAGGUCAGGGCAGCUCCUGAUGCCCUGACUCAGAGAGUUGAAACCACCACUGGGAAACCUGACCCCAA
Long non-coding RNA from Bubalus bubalis (water buffalo), 1527 nucleotides. RefSeq lists it as uncharacterized. The record is from RefSeq and is a predicted model, not a curated record. The transcript has 3 exons. NCBI's taxonomy places the organism in Eukaryota, Metazoa, Chordata, Mammalia, Artiodactyla, Bovidae.